AUUGAACGCUGGCGGCAUGCCUAACACAUGCAAGUCGAGCGAGCGGCGGACGGGUGAGUAAUGUCUGGGUAACUGCCUGCUGGAGGGGGAUACCUACUGGAAACGGUAGCUAAUCCCGCAUCCCAUCAGAUGUGCCCAGAUGGGAUUAGCUAGUGGGUGGGGUAACGGCCCACCUAGGCGACGAUCCCUAGCUGGUCUGAGAGGAUGACCAGCAACACUGGAACUGAGACACGGCCCAGACUCCUACGGGAGGCAGCAGUGGGGAAUAUUGGACAAUGGGGGAAAGCCUGAUGCAGCCAUGCCGCGUGUGUGAAGAAGGCCUUCGGGUUGUAAAGCACUUUCAGCGGGGAGGCGUUACCCGCAGAAGAAGCACCGGCUAACUCCGUGCCAGCAGCCGCGGUAAUAC
This 406-nucleotide ribosomal RNA is filed under the name uncultured bacterium. RNAcentral's name for it is "partial 16S ribosomal RNA". It matches the Rfam family "Bacterial small subunit ribosomal RNA", at positions 30 to 526 of the family's 1533-position model. The record is from RNAcentral.